AAGUCAAAGACUGAAAUUCGUUCAGCUCCUGAAAAAUACAGGUUUUCAAAUUUGUUAUUAACUAGAAUACAUGUUAGAACAAAACUAUGGUCUGUCGCUGACAAGGUCACGUUCAGUUUUGCGCGCUUUACGCGGAGGAUGGUUUUCCAACAUGUGGUUUCAUCCAGGUUAGCUAAACAGACGAAGCAGCUAUGACGUUAAAUGCUUUGGAUUGUGUAACAGUUUGGAUCGACGGAAUUCAAAGCCACACUGCCAGCGAACACUCAGCAAGAUCUCUAGCCAAGCUCAGCCCCCUGCCUUCAGAGCCCUCCCACUGAGUUAACCUGGACACGUGGAUGGAGAUCUUCCUCAUAUUUGCAGUGUGCUUUUAUCAAGCGCUGAUUGGUUUCCACAACAAACUUUAGGAAAGGACAACACCGCUGACAUGUUGUGAGCUAACAGACACAGCGUGUCACCAGCGCCAGAUAUUUACAUCGACACAAGCUGUUUUGCUGAGGCUUUUCUUUAAAGUGAGAGGCACAAAUUAGUCCGUGCACACAGAGGUUAGGAUGAAUGCAGUGACAGUCCUGAUCAAGCUAUUAUGGCCAGAUUAGAUCAGAGUUUAUCUUUCACCUUUUGAAAGGAUUUGAUUUCGUGGAUCUAAUCAAAUAAACAGUUGCAGCGGUUUGUAUUUGACCAUUUAUGGCACUGGCUGUCCGUGGAACCACAGUAUUUGCCUAAAACAAAUACUUGUUUGGCGAACAUGUUUGGCAAAAUGUCCAUUUGACUGCAGUGAAUGUGUGCCAUGCAUAUGUAGUGGUCAACGUCCUAGCAUCCUUUUAAAAGAUGCAUGCCAACUAAUGUGGAGAGCCUAACGUUAUUGUCACAUUGUCGUCUCAUUGUCGUUGUUUGUUGUACGUACCCAGUACUGUACAUUAAAUGUCAGGCAACUGUUUUGCAUUUUGUACUUAGUUGUGAGAGAAAAUCCUUUUAGAGGGGAAAAUAUAUUAAAAUACAGUACACUUACACAUCUGGUCUGUUUAAUAGUACUUCUUUGUUGGCUGUUGAAGUUUGAUAUUCUU
Molecule: long non-coding RNA, 1061 nt
Organism: Esox lucius (northern pike)
Lineage: Eukaryota; Metazoa; Chordata; Actinopteri; Esociformes; Esocidae
Source: Ensembl